RNAcentral lists this unclassified non-coding RNA (361 nucleotides) under uncultured fungus. RNAcentral describes it as "partial contains small subunit ribosomal RNA, internal transcribed spacer 1, and 5.8S ribosomal RNA". The stretch from base 1 to 73 matches the Rfam family "Eukaryotic small subunit ribosomal RNA", at positions 1759 to 1831 of the family's 1831-position model. Lineage: Eukaryota; Fungi. The record is from RNAcentral.
GCAAACUUGGUCAUUUAGAGGAAGUAAAAGUCGUAACAAGGUUUCCGUAGGUGAACCUGCGGAAGGAUCAUUAACGAGUUUUAAACAAAAAUGGGUGAGGUUGUAGCUGGUUUCUUCUUGCGGAGAGACAUGUGCACGCUUCGCUUGUUUUUCCACCUCUCACACCUUUGUGCACUUUCUCACAGGCUGGACUUGAAGACUUUUGUUGAAAGACAAAGUGUCUUGGUUUCGUCUGUGUGUUUUGAAUCACAAACUUUUUGUCAGUUUCAGAAUGUACUUGCUUGUGCAACAAAAUUGCAUACUUUUAAAUACAACUUUCAGCAACGGAUCUCUUGGCUCUCGCAUCGAUGAAGAACGCAGC